Molecule: unclassified non-coding RNA, 245 nt
Filed under: Capnodiales sp.
Lineage: Eukaryota; Fungi; Ascomycota; Dothideomycetes; Capnodiales
Description: partial contains 5.8S ribosomal RNA, internal transcribed spacer 2, and large subunit ribosomal RNA
Source: RNAcentral
CGCACAUUGCGCCCCCUGGCAUUCCGGAGGGCAUACCUGUUCGAGCGUCAUUACACCACUCAAGCCUGGCUUGGUCUUGGGCGACGGGGCCGCUUCUGGCCCCGCGCCCCAAUGUCUCCGGCUGGACGUUCUCUCUCGCAGCGUUGUGGCAACAUGUCCGCUGGCGAGACGGGGACGGCCAUGCCGUCAAAACCUCUCCUUCAAAGGUUGACCUCGGAUCAGGUAGGGAUACCCGCUGAACUUAA